AUUGAACGCUGGCGGCAGGCCUAACACAUGCAAGUCGAGCGGAUGAAGGGAGCUUGCUCCUGGAUUCAGCGGCGGACGGGUGGGUAAUGCCUAGGAAUCUGCCUGGUAGUGGGGGAUAACGUCCGGAAACGGGCGCUAAUACCGCAUACGUCCUGAGGGAGAAAGUGGGGGAUCUUCGGACCUCACGCUAUCAGAUGAGCCUAGGUCGGAUUAGCUAGUUGGUGGGGUAAGGGCCUACCAAGGCGACGAUCCGUAACUGGUCUGAGAGGAUGAUCAGUCACACUGGAACUGAGACACGGUCCAGACUCCUACGGGAGGCAGCAGUGGGGAAUAUUGGACAAUGGGCGAAAGCCUGAUCCAGCCAUGCCGCGUGUGUGAAGAAGGUCUUCGGAUUGUAAAGCACUUUAAGUUGGGAGGAAGGGCAGUAAGUUAAUACCUUGCUGUUUUGACGUUACCAACAGAAUAAGCACCGGCUAACUUCGUG
This 484-nucleotide ribosomal RNA is filed under the name uncultured bacterium. RNAcentral's name for it is "partial 16S ribosomal RNA". It matches the Rfam family "Bacterial small subunit ribosomal RNA", at positions 30 to 507 of the family's 1533-position model. The record is from RNAcentral.